RNAcentral lists this ribosomal RNA (494 nucleotides) under uncultured bacterium. RNAcentral's name for it is "partial 16S ribosomal RNA". It matches the Rfam family "Bacterial small subunit ribosomal RNA", at positions 28 to 507 of the family's 1533-position model. The record is from RNAcentral.
GACGAACGCUGGCGGCGUGCUUAACACAUGCAAGUCGAACGGUGAAGCGCCUUCCUUUUUGGUGGGUGUGGAUGAGUGGCGAACGGGUGAGUAACACGUGAGUAACCUGCCCCCUUCUUCUGGAUAACCGCAUGAAAGUGUGGCUAAUACGGGAUAUUCUGGGUCUGUCGCAUGAUGGGUCUGGGAAAGAUAUUGUUUCGGUGGGGGAUGGGCUCGCGGCCUAUCAGCUUGUUGGUGGGGUGAUGGCCUACCAAGGCGGUGACGGGUAGCCGGCCUGAGAGGGUGGACGGUCACACUGGGACUGAGACACGGCCCAGUCUCCUACGGGAGGCAGCAGUGGGGAAUAUUGCACAAUGGGCGCAAGCCUGAUGCAGCGACGCCGCGUGAGGGAUGGAGGCCUGCGGGUUGUGAACCUCUUUCGCCAGUGAAGCAGGCCUGCCUCGUUUGUGGGUGGGUUGACGGUAGCUGGAGAAGAAGCGCCGGCUAACUACGUG